RNAcentral lists this ribosomal RNA (785 nucleotides) under uncultured Glomus. Its description in RNAcentral is "SSU rRNA". It matches the Rfam family "Eukaryotic small subunit ribosomal RNA", at positions 325 to 1111 of the family's 1831-position model. The record is from RNAcentral. Lineage: Eukaryota; Fungi; Glomeromycota; Glomeromycetes; Glomerales; Glomeraceae.
AUGGUAGGAUAGAGGCCUACCAUGGUGGUAACGGGUAACGGGGUGUUAGGGCACGACACCGGAGAGGGAGCCUGAGAAACGGCUACCAUAUCCAAGGAAGGCAGCAGGCGCGCAAAUUACCCAAUCCCGACACGGGGAGGUAGUGACAAUAAAUAACAAUACAGGGUUCUUUGAAUCUUGUAAUUGGAAUGAGUACAAUUUAAAUCUCUUAACGAGGAACAAUUGGAGGGCAAGUCUGGUGCCAGCAGCCGCGGUAAUUCCAGCUCCAAUAGCGUAUAUUAAAGUUGUUGCAGUUAAAAAGCUCGUAGUUGAAUUUCGGGAUCAAUACGUCGGUCCUGCUUCCGGGUACGUACUGGCGCCAUUGGUUUCUCCUUUCUGACGAACCAUGAUGUCAUUAAUUUGGUGUUAUGGGGAGUUAGGACUGUUACUUUGAAAAAAUUAGAGUGUUUGAAGCAGGCAUUAGCUUGAAUACAUUAGCAUGGAAUAAUGAAAUAGGACGUUCGAUCCUAUUUUGUUGGUUUCUAGGAUCAACGUAAUGAUUAAUAGGGAUAGUUGGGGGCAUUAGUAUUCAAUUGUCAGAGGUGAAAUUCUUGGAUUUAUUGAAGACUAACUACUGCGAAAGCAUUUGCCAAGGAUGUUUUCAUUAAUCAAGAACGAAAGUUAGGGGAUCGAAGACGAUCAGAUACCGUCGUAGUCUUAACCAUAAACUAUGCCGACUAGGGAUCGGAUGAUGUUAAUUUUUUAACGACUCAUUCGGCGCCUUACGGGAAACCAAAGUGUUUGGG